RNAcentral lists this transfer RNA (68 nucleotides) under Nipponaphis machilicola. Its description in RNAcentral is "tRNA-Val". Lineage: Eukaryota; Metazoa; Arthropoda; Insecta; Hemiptera; Hormaphididae. The record is from RNAcentral.
AUAUAGUUUAAUAAAAUAAAUAUCUAAAUUUAAGUGUAUCAUUUACAAUGAUAAGAUGUUUUUAACUU